CAUCACAGCCCAAAGUGCCAGUUCUGGCUCCACACACAUCUCCUUGGAGGUAAAUAUGUUGAAGAUUGGACGGUGAGAGAUCAACAUCUAAACUCGAAAGAGGCAUCAGUUUCCCAGCCAUUCAAGGAAUUGGACCCAGAUAGGCAAGGAUACUGACCACUAUUCUAAUGAAGAAGACAUUCACUACCUGAGGGAACAAUUCAACAUGAGAUCAUCUAACUACAGCAACACACAUCAAACAGAAGAUUUGGGCACUCCUGAAGUCUGCAAAAUAUCUCUCUGUCAUUCUGGACUGUAUACUUGACAUGAGUCCAACUGAACAAAUGACUUUAAUAGCGUGUUUUGUAAGAGCAACAGAAUCUAGCACAACUGUACAUGCUAUAAUGCAUGCCAGAGAAUAUUUCCUGGAAAUCUUUGACACCAGUGUGUUAAGACAGACCUCCUUCUUGUCCCAAUUAACACCUGAGGGUGUCUAAGGCGGAACCAGGACUGUGGGUCUAGAUUGAUGAUACCAGAACCAAAGAGGAAAAGGCAUUUUUUUAAAAAUGGAAGUUGAGUGUCGGCCAGGACCUUUACUCUCCCUCACCUGCUAAUAAUGGGCUACAAAGGUCUUUGUGGAAUUCAGUGACCUGAGAAGAUAAUGAGAAAGCUAAGCUCAGUGACACUUAAACAUGGUAUGCAUAUGCAAAAUAGCCUUUUCUAAAUUGAAUGCUAAUUCAGGGAACACUCCUCAGAUGAAGCAAUCUCAUCUGCACUGUUAUUUAUUGCAAAUAUCCCUUAGUUAAUGUGAUUCAAUUAUUUUUGUAGGAAACCUGCAACUCCUAAUUAAAUGAUGGCCAGAAGCUAAGACUAAGUUCCUGACCAGCAAGAAGUAGACUUGAGACUAAAAGAGGAACUGGUUUCCUCCCCACCUCUGCACAACAAUAGGGCAGGCUCAACCAGACCAUCCUUGAAGGGAGUUACCGGUUCACACCCUCGCCCUGCUGAAUACAAUAGAGCUAGAAUCUAUUCAAUUCUCUUGUUACUUCCAAUCAGUUACAAAUCAGUUUUGGGUAUAAGAAUCCCAGCUUAGAGGCAGCACUUUGAGCAGUCUAAUCAGGAGGAGAGCUGGUCUUGUGGUAGCGAGCAUGACUUGCCCCUGUUGCUAAACAGGGUCCACCCUGGUUCACAUUUGAAUGGGAGAUAUGUGUGAGCACUGUAAGAUAUUCCCCUCAGGGGAUGGAGCUGCUCCAGGAUGAGCAUCCACAUGCUUGCAUGAAGAAGGUUCCAAGUUCCCUCCCUGGCAUCUCCAAGAUAGGGCUAAGAGAUUCCUGCCAGCAACCUUGGAGAAGCUGCUGCCAGUCUGUGUAAAUGAUACUGAGCUAUAUGGACCAAUGGUCUGACUCAGUAUAAGACAGCUUCCUACAUUCCUGCGUAGGACACCCAGAGAGAGAAUGUUGCAGACUUGUUUCCAGAGAUCGUGGCUGCACAGAAUAGAUCUCUGAGGUGAAGUAAGCAUAUAGUUCCAUUCGAAAAUUGUGCAUGAGUAACUAGGGCUGAUCUUACACAAUGAAGAUCCAUAUUCAUAAAUAGGCACCUUCAUCCAUGCUGAGCCAGUGAGUAAAGCUCUCUGAGCUAUCUGAACUGUUUCCUCACUCCUUUUCUUGCUAACUUUCUCUAUUACAGCAACCAGUGAAGCCCCUCUUGAGGUCACCUACCUCUGCUCUCAAACCCGAACCCUGUUCACUUAGUCAUGUAACUGCUGCAAAUGAUAUACACCUGGUCUAGCAAAACCACUACAGUGCAUUUUCAUAUUUUGCCUAUUCCCGCCAGUCUUAGCAAUCAAUCUCUCCCUUUCAAUUCAUUAUUUUCUCUGUCAUUCUAUUUCUCGAUUCUCUCUCCUAUCUUUUCUUCAUUACUAUCUGUUCUAGGAUCCAUCUCUCUUGUAGUCUCUAUAAUUGCCAGCCACUUUAGUCAGUAUUAAUGGAAACAGCUAGGUCGAUUCUCUAGGAGUUCUACCUGGAACUCAAUGGUUUUUCUUGCUUGAAUGUUUAGUUUUGCUCUACCAAAUGCUCUACAGAAUGGUUUUUAUUGUUAAUUUGAUUAUCUAUUUUUGCUAAUUUCCUAAUCAGAGUGUAUGUUUUGAUUCUCUUUUUAAAAAUUUGAAUAUUUUGCAUUAAAAUUAUGUCUCACC
Molecule: long non-coding RNA, 2173 nt
Organism: Hemicordylus capensis (graceful crag lizard)
Lineage: Eukaryota; Metazoa; Chordata; Lepidosauria; Squamata; Cordylidae
Exons: 2
Source: RefSeq, a predicted model, not a curated record